UGGCUCAGCAGUAAAGAAUCUGCUUGCAAUGCAGGAGACCCAGGUUCGAUUCCUGG
This 56-nucleotide transfer RNA is filed under the name Capra hircus (goat). It matches the Rfam family "tRNA", at positions 8 to 63 of the family's 71-position model. Rfam says of the family: Transfer RNA (tRNA) molecules are approximately 80 nucleotides in length. Their secondary structure includes four short double-helical elements and three loops (D, anti-codon, and T loops). Lineage: Eukaryota; Metazoa; Chordata; Mammalia; Artiodactyla; Bovidae. RNAcentral also lists the same sequence under 1 other name. The record is from Rfam by way of RNAcentral.